CCUACGAGCGGCAGCAGUGAGGAAUAUUGGUCAAUGGGCGCGAGCCUGAACCAGCCAAGUAGCGUGAAGGAUGACUGCCCUACGGGUUGUAAACUUCUUUUAUAAAGGAAUAAAGUGAGGCACGUGUGCCUUUUUGUAUGUACUUUAUGAAUAAGGAUCGGCUAACUCCGUGCCAGCAGCCGCGGUAAUACGGAGGAUCCGAGCGUUAUCCGGAUUUAUUGGGUUUAAAGGGAGCGUAGAUGGGUUGUUACGUAAGUUGUGAAAGUUUGCGACUCAACCGUAAAAUUGCAAUUGAUACUGGCAGUCUUGAGUACAGUUGAGGUAGGCGGAAUUCGUGGUGUAGCGGUGAAAUGCUUAGAUAUCACGAAGAACUCCGAUUGCGAAGGCAGCUUACUAAACUGCCACUGACAUUGAUGCUCGAAAGUGUGGGUAUCAAACAGGAUUAGAUACCCCAGUAGUC
RNAcentral lists this ribosomal RNA (460 nucleotides) under uncultured bacterium. RNAcentral describes it as "partial 16S ribosomal RNA". It matches the Rfam family "Bacterial small subunit ribosomal RNA", at positions 338 to 795 of the family's 1533-position model. The record is from RNAcentral.